GUUACUAUACUUUACUUAGAAGAUUUGGUUUGCAACUAAACAGUGGGCACAAGUGCUCUAGUACCA
This 66-nucleotide transfer RNA is filed under the name Protaeolidiella atra. RNAcentral's name for it is "tRNA-Ala". The record is from RNAcentral. Lineage: Eukaryota; Metazoa; Mollusca; Gastropoda; Nudibranchia; Aeolidiidae.